UAUGGAAGCUUGCUUCCGCUGAGAAGAUAGUGGCGAACGGGUGAGUAACACGUGGGUAACCUGCCCAUAAGAGGGGGAUAACAUCCGGAAACGGGUGCUAAUACCGCAUAGUUUUCUUGAUCGCAUGAUUGAGAAAGGAAAGACGGCCUUUGUGCUGUCGCUUAUGGAUGGACCCGCGGCGUAUUAGUUAGUUGGUGAGGUAACGGCUCACCAAGACGAUGAUACGUAGCCGACCUGAGAGGGUGAUCGGCCACAUUGGGACUGAGACACGGCCCAAACUCCUACGGGAGGCAGCAGUAGGGAAUCUUCCGCAAUGGACGAAAGUCUGACGGAGCAACGCCGCGUGAGUGAAGAAGGUUUUCGGAUCGUAAAACUCUGUUGUCAGAGAAGAACAAGUCGGAGAGUAACUGCUCCGGCCUUGACGGUAUCUGACCAGAAAGCCACGGCUAACUACGUGCCAGCAGCCGCGGUAAUACGUAGGUGGCAAGCGUUGUCCGGAUUUAUUGGGCGUAAAGCGAGCGCAGGCGGUUCCUUAAGUCUGAUGUGAAAGCCCACGGCUC
Molecule: ribosomal RNA, 560 nt
Filed under: uncultured bacterium
Lineage: Bacteria
Description: bacterial SSU rRNA
Rfam family: Bacterial small subunit ribosomal RNA
Source: RNAcentral